AUGUUCGGGCGGGACCCGUGGGGCGGGACGCUGGAGAUCUCGAACGCGGACUCGGCGACAGACGACGACCGGAGCCGGGACCUGGACCGGGGCGCCAUGAUGCGGCACCAGCUGGACGAGACGCAGCAGAGCUGGCUGCUGGCCGGCCCGGGCGACCAGGCCGGGAAGAAGAAGAAGAAGUACGUGGACAUCGGCUGCAUGGUCAUCGACCGCAAGAUCUUCAUGUGGACCGUCGGCCUCAUCCUCGGCGUCGGCCUCUUCGUCGGCUUCGUCAUGAUGAUCGUCAAGCUCGUCCCGCACAAGAAGCCGCCGCCGCCGCCCCCCGACCAGUACACCCUCGCGCUCCACAAGGCCCUCAUGUUCUUCAACGCCCAGCGAUCCGGUCAUCUGCCCAAGCACAACGGCGUGAGCUGGAGGGGCAACUCCGGCAUGAAGGACGGCCUCUCGGACAGCACCGUCAAGAAGAGCUUGGUUGGAGGCUUCUACGACGCAGGCGACGCCAUCAAGUUCAACUACCCCAUGGCCUGGUCCAUGACCAUGCUCAGCUGGACGGUGAUCGAGUACAGGGCCAAGUACGAGGCCAUCGGCGAGCUCGACCAUGUCAAGGAGAUCAUCAAGUGGGGCACCGACUACAUGCUCAAGACCUUCAACUCGUCCGCCGACACCAUCGACCGGAUUGUCGCUCAGGUCGGCGUGGGCGACACCUCUAAAGGCCCCAUGCCGAACGACCACUACUGCUGGAUGAGACCAGAGGAUAUUGACUAUAAGAGGCCUGUCAUCGAGUGCCACUCUUGCUCGGAUCUUGCCGCUGAGAUGGCUGCCGCCCUCGCCGCCGCUUCCAUAGUGUUCAAGGACAGCAAGGCGUACUCUGACAAGCUCGUCCACGGUGCCAAGGCGCUGUACAAGUUCGGUAGGCUGCAGCGCGGUCGAUACAGCCCCAAUGGCUCUGAUCAGUCAUUGUUCUACAAUUCCACCAGCUACUGGGAUGAGUUUGUGUGGGGUGGUGCGUGGAUGUACUUCGCCACGGGGAACACAUCAUACCUCACCAUCGCCACAGCUCCAGGAAUGGCAAAGCACGCAGGCGCGUUCUGGAUUGGUAGCCCAAACUAUGGAGUGUUUACCUGGGAUGACAAGCUUCCAGGAUCUCAGGUUCUUCUCAGCAGGUUGCGGCUCUUCCUAAGUCCAGGGUAUCCUUAUGAAGAAAUAUUAAGGACAUUCCACAACCAAACUGACAAUGUCAUGUGCUCAUAUUUACCAGUAUUCAAUUCAUUCAACUUCACUAAAGGAGGAUUGAUACAACUCAACCAUGGAGGGCCUCAACCGCUUCAGUACGUCGUCAAUGCAGCUUUCCUUGCCUCUUUGUAUGCUGAUUAUCUGGACACUGCGGAUACACCAGGGUGGUAUUGUGGACCUAAUUUCUAUACCACAGAUGUCCUCCGCAAGUUUGCAAAGUCACAGCUUGAUUACAUUCUAGGCAAGAACCCACAAAAGAUGAGCUACGUCGUGGGUUUUGGAAAGAAGUACCCCAAGCGUGUUCAUCACAGAGGGGCAUCAAUCCCUCAUAACGGUGUCAAGUACGGAUGCAAAGGAGGUUUCAAAUGGAGAGAGUCUAAGAAAGCAAACCCUAAUAUCCUCGUUGGAGCAAUGGUUGCUGGCCCUGACAAGCAUGAUGGCUUCAAGGAUAUCCGCACAAAUUACAAUUACACAGAGCCUACUCUUGCAGCAAAUGCUGGCCUGGUUGCAGCAUUGAUUUCUCUAGCUGACAUCGAUACCGGCAGAUAUUCAAUUGAUAAGAACACCAUCUUCUCAGCAGUUCCCCCAAUGUUCCCGACACCCCCACCACCACCAUCAGCUUGGAAACCAUGA
Molecule: ribosomal RNA, 1866 nt
Filed under: Triticum aestivum (bread wheat)
Lineage: Eukaryota; Viridiplantae; Streptophyta; Magnoliopsida; Poales; Poaceae
Description: partial small subunit ribosomal RNA
Source: RNAcentral